UCUAGAACUCUAGAUAUGGGCUGAACACUUAACAGUGUCUGGGCUGUAGGAUAGAUUGCGACUUCUCCGUUAUUGCUAAGAUUUGGACUUCCAAACAACAAAAUUGAGUCUUGGACUCCCCAUGAAUGUUUUAGGCCUAUGUCUUAGCCUUUUAUC
This 156-nucleotide microRNA precursor is filed under the name Populus trichocarpa (black cottonwood). RNAcentral describes it as "MIR2912 microRNA precursor family". It matches the Rfam family "MIR2912 microRNA precursor family". The record is from Rfam by way of RNAcentral. Lineage: Eukaryota; Viridiplantae; Streptophyta; Magnoliopsida; Malpighiales; Salicaceae.